Molecule: ribosomal RNA, 155 nt
Filed under: Thelebolales sp. P41C001
Lineage: Eukaryota; Fungi; Ascomycota; Leotiomycetes; Thelebolales
Also listed under: 1 other name
Description: 5.8S ribosomal RNA
Rfam family: 5.8S ribosomal RNA
About the family: 5.8S ribosomal RNA (5.8S rRNA) is a component of the large subunit of the eukaryotic ribosome. It is transcribed by RNA polymerase I as part of the 45S precursor that also contains 18S and 28S rRNA.
Source: RNAcentral
AACUUUCAACAACGGAUCUCUUGGUUCUGGCAUCGAUGAAGAACGCAGCGAAAUGCGAUAAGUAAUGUGAAUUGCAGAAUUCAGUGAAUCAUCGAAUCUUUGAACGCACAUUGCGCUCCCUGGUAUUCCGGGGAGCAUGCCUGUUCGAGCGUCAU